GAGCUCUGAGGUCAGUGAGGGCCUUCUCUGGUCUGUUUUCACAUGUCACUGCAUUCAAGAGUGCAAGGGGACUUUCAAACUCAGGCCCCUUGAGUCCCACGCCAGCCCACUGCUCCCGGACUACUGAGCACACAGCAGAGAGGAAGCAGCUGCCUGCAGGGGAUGGGCCUGGCUGUCACCUGUCCAGGCUGCAGCCAAUCGUUUCUCCAAACAGGCUGCGACAGGAGACCUGGAUAGUGGGAAUUUCACAGCCAGAAAAUACUGGGACACCCCCAUCACAACCAAGCCUUUCCUGGGAGCGAUGAAACAGCUGAGGGCACAGCGGGCAGAUGCUGGCCACCACUGUCCCAAGCUGGGGCUCCCGGCAUGAGGCCACCUCCUCCACACCCCACCCCAGCCAUGAUGGCACGAGCCCCUUCCACGAGCGCAGAAUCUGCACACGUGCCUCAGGGCAGGAAUCUGAAUUCGGGAAAAACAUGACUCAAUCUGGUAAAGAAAAAGGUAACGGUAAUUUUCCAGAAGAUGACCAGAUACAGUGUAAAUCCCAGGACCCAGCAUCAAAGGUCUUUGCGCAAAUCAAGCCCAGGUCUCUGGUGCCAGGAUGCUAUUCUCGGGCGCCUGGCUGACCUCCCCUGCAGCAGUUUCCAACUUCGAGAAAGCAUGGCCCAUCCCUAAUCCUCAGCAUGGUCACCUGGCCAAUCCCAGUCGUCCACCUCAACUGUGUUUGUCAGGGACAAAUAUUUAGAUGUUCUAUGCAUCUGUGGGGUAAUCGGAGUGUUCACAGUCUGGAGGGAAGGUUCACAGAGGUGAAUGAGCCCAGUUUCUGUUCAGGUGCCAGUGGGUCCUGUAAUCGAAAGACCCUUAACCAGUUACACUGGUCCAGCCCAACAGGGUGGGGGUCUCCUCUGGGAGUGAUGAAAAUCUUUUGGAACUAGGAGGAGGGUGGCUGGGCAACACUGUGGAUGUCACUAAUGCCACCAACUUGUGCACCUUAAAAAGGCUGCGUUGUGUGAAUUUCAGCUGUGUUUUUUUUUUUUA
Molecule: long non-coding RNA, 1038 nt
Filed under: Heterocephalus glaber (naked mole-rat)
Lineage: Eukaryota; Metazoa; Chordata; Mammalia; Rodentia; Bathyergidae
Description: lncRNA (ENSHGLG00000040826.1)
Source: RNAcentral